GAUGAACGCUGGCGGCGUGCCUAAUACAUGCAAGUCGAGCGAACGUACGAGAAGCUUGCUUCUCUGAUGUUAGCGGCGGACGGGUGAGUAACACGUGGAUAACCUACCUAUAAGACUGGGAUAACUUCGGGAAACCGGAGCUAAUACCGGAUAAUAUUUUGAACCGCAUGGUUCAAAAGUGAAAGACGGUCUUGCUGUCACUUAUAGAUGGAUCCGCGCUGCAUUAGCUAGUUGGUAAGGUAACGGCUUACCAAGGCAACGAUGCAUAGCCGACCUGAGAGGGUGAUCGGCCACACUGGAACUGAGACACGGUCCAGACUCCUACGGGAGGCAGCAGUAGGGAAUCUUCCGCAAUGGGCGAAAGCCUAACGGAGCAACGCCGCGUGAGUGAUGAAGGUCUUCGGAUCGUAAAACUCUGUUAUUAGGGAAGAACAUAUGUGUAAGAAACUGUGCACAUCUUGACGGUACCUAAUCAGAAAGCCACGGCUAACUACGUG
This 497-nucleotide ribosomal RNA is filed under the name uncultured bacterium. Its description in RNAcentral is "partial 16S ribosomal RNA". It matches the Rfam family "Bacterial small subunit ribosomal RNA", at positions 28 to 507 of the family's 1533-position model. The record is from RNAcentral.